RNAcentral lists this transfer RNA (73 nucleotides) under Patescibacteria group bacterium. RNAcentral describes it as "tRNA-Thr". It matches the Rfam family "tRNA". From Rfam's summary of the family: Transfer RNA (tRNA) molecules are approximately 80 nucleotides in length. Their secondary structure includes four short double-helical elements and three loops (D, anti-codon, and T loops). Further hydrogen bonds mediate the characteristic L-shaped molecular structure. tRNAs have two regions of fundamental functional importance: the anti-codon, which is responsible for specific mRNA codon recognition, and the 3' end, to which the tRNAs corresponding amino acid is attached (by aminoacyl-tRNA synthetases). tRNAs cope with the degeneracy of the genetic code in two manners: having more than one tRNA (with a specific anti-codon) for a particular amino acid; and 'wobble' base-pairing, i.e. permitting non-standard base-pairing at the 3rd anti-codon position. The record is from RNAcentral.
GCCUGAGUAGCUCAGUUGGUAGAGCAACGGUUUUGUAAACCGUAGGUCACCGGUUCGAGCCCGGUCUCAGGCU